Molecule: ribosomal RNA, 497 nt
Filed under: uncultured bacterium
Lineage: Bacteria
Description: partial 16S ribosomal RNA
Rfam family: Bacterial small subunit ribosomal RNA
Source: RNAcentral
GAUGAACGCUGGCGGCGUGCCUAAUACAUGCAAGUCGAGCGAACAGACGAGGAGCUUGCUCCUCUGACGUUAGCGGCGGACGGGUGAGUAACACGUGGAUAACCUACCUAUAAGACUGGGAUAACUUCGGGAAACCGGAGCUAAUACCGGAUAAUAUAUUGAACCGCAUGGUUCAAUAGUGAAAGACGGUUUUGCUGUCACUUAUAGAUGAAUCCGCGUCGCAUUAGCUAGUUGGUAAGGUAACGGCUUACCAAGGCAACGAUGCGUAGCCGACCUGAGAGGGUGAUCGGCCACACUGGAACUGAGACACGGUCCAGACUCCUACGGGAGGCAGCAGUAGGGAAUCUUCCGCAAUGGGCGAAAGCCUGACGGAGCAACGCCGCGUGAGUGAUGAAGGUCUUCGGAUCGUAAAACUCUGUUAUUAGGGAAGAACAAAUGUGUAAGUAACUAUGCACGUCUUGACGGUACCUAAUCAGAAAGCCACGGCUAACUACGUG